AACUCUUAGCGAUGGAUUACUCGGCUCGUGAAUCGAUGAAGAACGCGGCUAACUGCCAUAAAUCGUGCGAAUUGCAGACGCACUGAGCAAAAAGAUUUCGAACGCACCUUGCACAUCGUCUCUCACAACAAUCUAAUUUAUUCUUGCGUGUAU
Brugia malayi is the source of this 153-nucleotide non-coding RNA. The record is from Rfam. Lineage: Eukaryota; Metazoa; Nematoda; Chromadorea; Rhabditida; Onchocercidae.